UGCUCCCGAAGGAACCCUGCUUUGCUUGGAGGGGAGGAAAUGAACUGACGGGCGCUGGCUGCUGGCGUUCGAGCACCGGCUGUGGCUCAGUCGAAAAGGGCACGGUUCUUGCCAGUUCACCUCCUCCAAAGCAGGUGACAAAAAAACAAAAAUCAACCAGCUGAUGGAGGGACACUGAUACCUACACAACAACCAUGAACAAUACUAGACAGACACACACUACCAUGUUGACACCACUUAGCAUUCAGCUGGUGUCAGGACGCACCCUCCCCACCAUGGUGCCCUCUUGCGUCAUAAUCUAUGAGGACACCCCAAAUACACCUGUUUGUCCUGGACCGGAAUAUGGGUCAUCGAGUCUUCCUCGGAUCUGGCCUAUGGAUGGCUAUUAAUGUUGAAGCUGGUUUCGUCUAGCUUCGGUGCUUGCCUUGGAGCGUCGUCAACCCUGCUUGCCGUUUACCCUAUUUCCUGUCCGUCCGUCUGAUAAUGGAUUUACUGGGGUCGUGCCUCUACAGAGCGGACAUCAAUGUGGGAGCAAUGGCUCAGUAUGUGGUCCAGUACCUGUCUGUCCGUCCGUGCACGUCAAUCGUAUUGUCUUGUUUCAAGUAUGGAAAUGGGAUUCGAAAGUGGGUACCUUGGGCGUUGUCGGCUGACCAACGCCGUGUUGCUAUCGCCUGACUGGCUGAUAUUCCAACGUUGGGACAGUGGAGGUGGAGUUUAUGUCUGGGUUAAUCUUUCCCCCCUUUUUAUUUUCAGGGAUUACUUUCUUUUCAGGUUUUCAACGUUUCUUUGCAGGUUUUCUUUUGCAGUUUAAAACAAUUUUUAAUAAUUUUUAGUUAUUUCAUUUUUCUCACGAAUUUCAGAGUUUUUCAAUACUUUUUCUCAAUAUUUCCUUUUCAGAUUUUUAAAUCUUUUUGUUUCAGGUUUUAAAUGUCUUCUUUUUCUUCUCUUAAUGUUCGUUCAAUUUGCCUUUAGAUUUACAAAAUUUUUUUAAUUAUUAGAUUUCUUUCAUUUCAGUUUCUUUUAUUUCAAAUUCACAAUCAUUUAACAAUUUCCUUGUAGAUUUAGCUGUCUUUGUUUGUAGAUUAUUGCCAUUCUAUUUAGCUUUAAGUUCAUUACAUUUUACUUUGCUUGUUUGGUAGCCCAGGCAAGAUUAUUAAAUAAAAAAAACACUAUUUCACCGCGG
This is a long non-coding RNA of Stomoxys calcitrans (stable fly), 1183 nucleotides long. RefSeq lists it as uncharacterized. The record is from RefSeq and is a predicted model, not a curated record. Lineage: Eukaryota; Metazoa; Arthropoda; Insecta; Diptera; Muscidae. The transcript is spliced from 5 exons.